Molecule: microRNA precursor, 161 nt
Filed under: Pelobates cultripes (western spadefoot toad)
Lineage: Eukaryota; Metazoa; Chordata; Amphibia; Anura; Pelobatidae
Source: RNAcentral
CAGCAGACACAUUCCAGCCAAUCAGCAGCAGACUCUCCCUUCCAGGCCUUCCCACCUCACUAAGAAUGCAGCUUCACAAUGAAUGUAAAAUGGAUGCUGUCCAGGAGGUGGGAGGGUCUGGGAGGGAGGGUCUGCUGCUGAUUGGCUGGAAUGUGUCUGCU